RNAcentral lists this transfer RNA (71 nucleotides) under Pangasianodon hypophthalmus (striped catfish). RNAcentral's name for it is "tRNA-Glu". Lineage: Eukaryota; Metazoa; Chordata; Actinopteri; Siluriformes; Pangasiidae. The record is from RNAcentral.
UCCCUGGAGGACUAGUGGUUAGGCCCGGUGCUCUCACUGCUGCAGCCCAGGUCCAAUUCCCGGCCAGGGAA